Molecule: long non-coding RNA, 838 nt
Organism: Labrus mixtus (cuckoo wrasse)
Lineage: Eukaryota; Metazoa; Chordata; Actinopteri; Labriformes; Labridae
Exons: 2
Source: RefSeq, a predicted model, not a curated record
GUUAUGUCAAGUUUAACCGUUAAAGCACAGGUGGUUCAGGGAGCUUUCAGUCCUUAUAUUGGUUAUAAAUAGUUACUUUAGAGAGAACCUAUUUUGACAGUGACACUUGAAAUUAGUACCAAAUCAGCAGAAAAGCGCCUUCAUUUUAAAAUAAUAAAAACAAAUGAGAUAUUAUCUACCUUCAGCUUUAUUGUACAUAUUUAGAAAUAUGUGACAAAUGCUAAUAUUCUUGGUUGGUGCGUGUGCCCCAUAUGUGGAGGCUGUGGUCCUCUGGGUGGGCGGCCGGGUUCGAGUCCCACCUGUAGCUCCUUUCCCGCAUGUCGUUCCCCACUCUCUCUCCCUGAUUUCCAACUCUAUCCACUGUCCUAUCUCUCAAUUAAAGGCACAAAAAUCCCCAAAAGAAAUAUAAAAAUAAUAAUAAUAAAAAAUAAUGAGAACAAUAAGAUAAUGUUUUAAAAGCCAGAUCUGACUUAUAAUAGGCACAAAUAUGGAGUCAUAGAUAUAUAUUUUUUUAACUUCAAACCCAGUUAUUUGUUACUUGCACACCUGGUAAUUAAUGCAGUGUUUCCCACAGGGCACUACAACUUGUAGCACAGUAUGAACACACACACACACCCUCUCUCUCUCAUUGUGUUGUAUAAAUUAAGCCAGGUUGCCGUCUUAACUGGGUCACCUCAGUUUUCCCAUGGAGCAGUUUAACACGUUAUGUAAUGGCUUAAAAAUAUAGCCAAUCAGUGUUGAGUGUAUGUGAGCAGAAGCAGCAGGCUGCCAUCUGAAGACACUGAAACUGUGUCAGUUUAAAAUCUCAGAGUAUACAGUAUUAUGACUUUUACAAACA